Non-coding RNA from Sarcoptes scabiei, 72 nucleotides. Lineage: Eukaryota; Metazoa; Arthropoda; Arachnida; Sarcoptiformes; Sarcoptidae. The record is from Rfam.
GCGUCGGUGGUAUAACGGCUAUUAUAGCUGCCUUCCAAGCAGUUGAUCCGGGUUCGACUCCCGGCCGACGCA